GGUUAGUUUAAUUUUUAAAAUAUAGGUUUUGUAAACCUAAGAUGAUUAUAUAUCAUUAACCU
Molecule: transfer RNA, 62 nt
Filed under: Versteria mustelae
Lineage: Eukaryota; Metazoa; Platyhelminthes; Cestoda; Cyclophyllidea; Taeniidae
Description: tRNA-Thr
Source: RNAcentral